Molecule: ribosomal RNA, 425 nt
Filed under: uncultured bacterium
Lineage: Bacteria
Description: partial 16S ribosomal RNA
Rfam family: Bacterial small subunit ribosomal RNA
Source: RNAcentral
GUGGGGGAUAUUGCACAAUGGGGGAAACCCUGAUGCAGCGACGCCGCGUGAAGGAAGACGUACUUCGGUAUGUAAACUUCUAUCAGCAGGGAAGAAGAUGACGGUACCUGACUAAGAAGCCCCGGCUAACUACGUGCCAGCAGCCGCGGUAAUACGUAGGGGGCAAGCGUUAUCCGGAUUUACUGGGUGUAAAGGGAGCGUAGACGGUGAAGCAAGUCUGAUGUGAAAACCCGGGGCUCAACUCCGGGAUUGCAUUGGAAACUGUUUUACUUGAGUGCUGGAGGGGCAAGCGGAAUUCCUGGUGUAGCGGUGAAAUGCGUAGAUAUCAGGAAGAACACCGGUGGCGAAGGCGGCUUGCUGGACAGUAACUGACGUUGAGGCUCGAAAGCGUGGGGAGCAAACAGGAUUAGAAACCCUAGUAGUCC